This 329-nucleotide ribosomal RNA is filed under the name uncultured eukaryote. RNAcentral describes it as "partial 18S ribosomal RNA". It matches the Rfam family "Eukaryotic small subunit ribosomal RNA", at positions 1470 to 1796 of the family's 1831-position model. The record is from RNAcentral.
CCCUUAGAUGUUCUGGGCAGCACGCGCGCUACACUGAUGCAUUCAACGAGUCUAAAACCUGCUCUGAUAGGGGUGGGUAAUCUUUUGAAUGUGCAUCGUGAUUGGGAUAGAUGAUUGAAAUUUUUCAUCUUCAACGAGGAAUGCCUAGUAAACGCAAGUCAUCAGCUUGCAUUGAUUACGUCCCUGCCCUUUGUACACACCGCCCGUCGCUCCUACCGAUUGAAUGAUCCGAUGAAUAUCAUGGAUUGAGGAUGCAAGUAGGUUCACCUAUCUUCAUCUUCGAGAAGUGAAGUAAAUCUUAUCAUUUAGAGGAAGGAGAAGUCGUAACA